UCCGAGUUGACCCCGGCAGUCUCCUAUGAGUCCCCGCCAUAACGCGCUGGCAACAUAGAACGAGGGUUGCGCUCGUUGCGGGACUUAACCCAACAUCUCACGACACGAGCUGACGACAACCAUGCACCACCUGUGCAGGACCCUUGCGGACCCCGUAUCUCUACGAGAUUUCCCUGCAUGUCAAGCCUUGGUAAGGUUCUUCGCGUUGCGUCGAAUUAAGCCACAUGCUCCGCCGCUUGUGCGGGCCCCCGUCAAUUCCUUUGAGUUUUAGCCUUGCGGCCGUACUCCCCAGGCGGGGCGCUUAAUGCGUUAGCUGCGGCACAGCGGUCGUGGAAAGACCGCCACACCUAGCGCCCAACGUUUACGGCGUGGACUAC
Molecule: unclassified non-coding RNA, 377 nt
Filed under: uncultured Frankiales bacterium
Lineage: Bacteria; Bacillati; Actinomycetota; Actinomycetes; Frankiales
Description: contains 16S-23S intergenic spacer region
Source: RNAcentral